CAUAGCAACACCAUAGCAACGAGGGACGCGCCGUCCUGCCGACCCCUACCUCGUGACGUAACUUCCAGGAAGCCUCGCCACCACUCUGAACACGGAAAUAUAGCACCACGCUAUCCUCGCCAUAUAUUGCAAACAUUUUCUGGGUUUUACUCGCGGGAUUCGUCAUGCCAUCUCGAUGUGUAGCGAUAUGAAUUACUCACAGGAAGACUCGAGACUCUAGGAGUGGUCAAAAAAAAAACUUCUCCUGCAAAGCCACGACAGCUUUGAAAACCUACAACAAUGCAACCUUGGUUUUCCAAAGACGAAGCCAAACAUAAAAAAUUAAGUGGCGGAAACCCUCAACACGAUGAAAAAAG
This is a long non-coding RNA of Corythoichthys intestinalis (scribbled pipefish), 356 nucleotides long. RefSeq lists it as uncharacterized. The record is from RefSeq and is a predicted model, not a curated record. Lineage: Eukaryota; Metazoa; Chordata; Actinopteri; Syngnathiformes; Syngnathidae. The transcript is spliced from 3 exons.